UCUUUCUUCCACUCCUCAUAGCUACUGCUUUCAUUUCUUCCUUAUGGAAUUCUGAUACUGUAAGCAAUACCAACUUACAGCACUUGUUUUAAUUUUUCCUGCACAGAUAUAUUUCAAUUGAUUAUGAUCGAGUUAUUUGCCUUUUCGAUUAUUUUGCAGUCUAAUUUUUCUGUUCACAAUAUCUCAAGAAAUAAAACGGUGAUUAUAGUAUCCCGAAAGCCACAAAACCGGCCACCAAAAAGAAUCACAACCCCACUCAAUUGUGUCAAAAACCAAACCCAAACUUGCCCAACAAAUUACCCCAAAACAUCUCAAACACAAGAAUCAAUUUCAGAUUACUCAAUACCACCCACAUCCACAUGCCCAGAUUACUUUCGGUGGAUCCACGAAGAUCUAAGCCCCUGGAAAGUCACAGGAAUCACAAGGGACAUGUUAGAAAGAGCCAAUCAAACGGCUCAUUUUCGUCUAAUACUCGUCAACAACAAAGUAUAUAUCCACAAGUACAAACAAUCAAUACAAACUAGAGACGUUUUCACCAUAUGGGGCAUCUUGCAACUCCUUAGAAAGUAUCCCGGAAGAUUACCGGACUUGGAGCUUAUGUUUGACUGCGAUGACCGCCCCGUCAUCCGAUCACGCGACUACAGCGGGCCAAACAACAAGGGCCCACCUCCGUUGUUUCGGUACAGUGGUGACAGGUGGACGAUGGAUAUAGUGUUUCCUGAUUGGUCCUUCUGGGGAUGGUAAUGACUUCUUCUUCUUCUUCUUCAUCUUUUUGUUGCUCUCUCUUUUGAUUGCUGGUUGCGUGUUGCGUGUGUUUUUGUUUUCGCAUGGAAAUUGUAGAAUGCAUGCAUGUGAGGGACUUAAAUCGACUUGGACUCUAGCUACCAUCGUAGGCCACGUAGGGUAGAAGCAUACUGUAAUUCAUUUUGUUUUCUGAUAAUCAAGGGGUCCUACGCUAAUGACAUGCGACCAAACACAGAUUAUUUAACCUGAAUAGCUAAUGCCCCGAGACGGCAAGACAUAGUUUUUUUUUUUUUUUUUUUUAACUUUAUCGUAAUAAUAAAUAAAUAUAAAUUUUUAAUAUAACAUAAUAUAAUAUAAUAUAAUAUUGAUUUCUAUUUUGUUUUAUUUUUAAUUAUAAUUGUUAAUAUAAAUUAAUGAACUAAUAAUUUAUUAUUCAAAAAUAUUAUAUUAUAUUUCUUAUUCUAUUAAAAAUAUAACAAAAUAAUGUAUUAUUUAUAUAUUAUAACAAUUAAUAUAUAAAAUUUGAUUAUUAUUUAAUAAGUUCAAUAUUACUAAUAAUAAAUACUUAAAUAAUAUAUAAAAAUGACAUAAUAUUACAUUAUUUAAAUAUAUUACAACAAUUGAUAUAUAAGAAUUGAUUAUUAUUUAACAAUUUAAUAUAACUAAUAAUAAAUACUUAAAUAUUAAUAAAUUUGAAUACUAUUAAUUUAAAAUUAAUAGUAAUAUAAAUAAUGAAAUAAAAUAUUCGUACAUAUAGUACAAUUCGUAAUAUAAUAUAAUAUAGUGUGCCAAAUGCACCCAAGUUAUAAAUUAUAUUAUAUUUUUUACCUUAUUUUUUUCCUUACUUUUACAAUAUAUAAUAUCUUUACAAUAAUUUUGGAGAUAUUAAUGAAAUGAAUAAAAGAAAACUAACCAAUCUUUUAUUUUAUUUUAUAACGAAACAAGUAUAUGAUUAAAAGAUUUGAUUGUGGGUAGGGAUGGCAAUGGGGAGGGGAGGGACCAAUCUCCCCGUACCAAUCCCCGAUAUUUUGCUUAUAUCCCCGUCCCCGUUAGAAUUACUUGAGAGAAUCCUCAUCCCCUCCCCGAAUAAUAACAGGGGAUCCCCAAGGGUCCCCGAUCCCCGAAUAACUAAUACAUUUUUUAUUUUCGAUUUUGAGUUAAUCAUAUUAAAAUAAAAAAUUCAAAUAAAAGUAAAGUUUGAAAUAUAUCUUACAUUAAUAUCCAUUACAAAAGUCACAUACAUUAAAUUAGUAAGUAACGCAUCAUGUAAGAGAUACAAGCUUCUUUUACAAACUAUCGUGAAUAAAUUAAUAGUCUAAUACAAAAUUGUUACAAAUAAAAUCGAAUUUAGAUUCAAAAUUAACUUUUUCAAUGGUGGCGUGGACACUUUAUAAAUGUGGACUAUUCCCUUUAUAGCACAAUAGUUAAGUCGGAGCAAAUCAAGAGCAAAUAUUAGAUUAGAUUAAAUUAAAUUAAAUUAGAUAUUAAAAUUGUGAUUCGCUGUGGUCAAUUACAACAUCUAAAAAUAAAUAAAAAAUAUAUUUAAGUUUAAAACAUUUAAUGAAUAUUAAAAUUAAAACAAAAUUUUUGGGCUAAUAGAAUUUACCCGGUUUUUUUAAUGUCCUAAAUAAAAAUUUAGGACUUUAAUUAGUUAAUUAAGUCUAAAAGUUUAAUAAUAUAAAUAUUUUGAUAUUUUUUAUUUUUAACAAUAUUUAUAAUUUUAUAAUUCAAAUGUUAUUAUUUAUUUACUAGUAAUUUUAAAAAAUAAAAUUAAAAUUAAAAUAGGGAAAUGGGUAGGGGAUGGGGAUUCCACAUCAUUCCCGUCCCCUCCCCGAAUAAUAAAUUGGGUAAAAAUAUUUCUCCGUCCCUUCCUCGAAUAAGAAAUUGGGUAUGAAAUUAUCCCCAUAUCCUCCACGAAUGAGAAAAAUCCCCGAGGGUAUCCGUCCCCGUAGAGAUUUUUGCCAUCCCUAAUUGUGGGUUCUUCUCCACUGAUGUCUGAAAUUGUGCAAGUACGUACAUAUGAUUGUCAGUCGGCUAGUUUUACAUUAAUUUUCAUCUAGCAAUGUUAUUACUUUGGGUCAUUGGGUGUCAGAUUUGAAAUUUAUGUUAGAAUGCGCCUGUGGAUCGAAUUAAACAAGUGUGUGACUAGCAAGUUCAUAAUAUAUAUAUAAAGAUGGAUGGAAAGGGUGUGACUGGCAACUUAUUCAUUUUGGCAGGGCUGAGAUAAAUAUAAAACCAUGGGAGAGUUUGUUGAGGGAGCUAAAAGAAGGCAACAAUGGGAGGAAUUGGGUGGACAGGGAACCCUAUGCCUACUGGAAAGGGAACCCUUUUGUAGCUGAAACAAGAAGAGACCUACUCACUUGUAAUCUAUCAGAUAAACACGACUGGAAUGCUCGACUCUAUGCCCAAGUAAUUUUAUUUUUAUAUUACUACUCAUUUUUGUUCUAAGAUUCCUGGUUUUAAUUUCUUUUUAAUCUUUUUCAAAAUGCUGGGCAUGGACAGAAUUUAAAUUAAUUUUUAGCCCCUUAAUUACAGUCCCUAAUAUUUAAACUUGACUUGCUAGCCAAAUAAAGCUGCUUAAAACCAAUUAAUUCGAUCAAACCUUUGAUUAUAUUUAUUUAUUGCGCAUAUAUAUGUUUAUUAAUUAACUUUUGCAGGAUUGGAUCCUUGAAUCUAAGCAAGGUUUUCAACAAUCAAAUCUGGCGAGCCAAUGCGCCCACAGGUAUAUCUAGUCGCCGACUAACUGAUGGGUACGUUCAUCAAGUCAACUUUCAACAUUGACUUUUCUUGUUCACUACUUAUUCAUUAGGUACAAAAUCUACAUCGAAGGAUAUGCAUGGUCAGUUAGUGAGAAGUACAUUCUAGCAUGUGACUCUACGACACUCAUUGUAAAGCCCUAUUUCCACGAUUUCUUCAUAAGAUAUUUACAACCUCUGCGACACUACUGGCCGAUAAGAGAUCAAGAUAAGUGCAAAUCUAUUAAGUUUGCUGUAGACUGGGGUAACACCCACAAGCAAAAGGUAAUUAGCUUCGUUGAUUAUAUUAUACUGAUGUAAUAUUUUGUUAAGUAAUGUGAUACGCAUGUAAAUGGACUUUAUUAGCAGGCACAGGAAAUUGGGAGAGCGGCGAGCAACUUCAUUCAAGAAGAACUGAAAAUGGAAUACGUGUAUGAUUACAUGUUUCAUUUGUUAAACGAGUAUGCUAAGCUUUUGAAAUUCAAGCCAGUGGCACCUGAUGGAGCUGUGGAGGUAUGCUCAGAGACUAUGGCUUGUACCGCAAAUGGGUCGCAUAAAAAGUUCAUGAUGGAGUCAUUAGUCAAAGGUCCUUCUAUUACAAGCCCAUGCACAUUGCCUCCUCCGUAUGAACCCAAAGUUCUUGGUGCUUUCUAUCGGAGAAAACUUAAUGCAAUUCUACAAGUGCAGAAAUGGGAGGAUAGAUACUGGGAAAGUUUGAAGAAGCAAUAGUGCGAAUAAUAUAUGCAUAUUAAUUACUUAGGUUAGGCUUUUAUUUAUUCAAUCAUUUGAUAAAGGGUCAAAUCCUACGACUCAGCAAGCCCAAUUUAAUUAAUUAAGAAGGCAUACAGCACUUAUGUUUUGCACCAAACUGUACUUAUCAUUAAAUCAAUUGCUAUGAGCCACGCAUGCAGCAUUUUGGACCACCGGAAAGAUGUGAAUGACUCAUCAUCAUCUCUUUGCCCACAAGUGCAUUAAUAACGAGCUUUAUCACUGACGAAUCACAGUAUUUGUCUGAAUUGGUCAUGUGGAUGAAAGGAAUUGGUUUCUUUUGGGCGACAGAACAAAUGAAUGAAAAUGAUGAUGAUCAAUCCAGUCUCCACCGUUGCUAAUAUUAAUAUGAUUAUGAUUUCAGUGCUGCACACAGGAGCACCUUGCGAAUACUGCUUAGUACUGUUACAUGCAUUCUUAUAAUUACGUGUAUCCAUAUAAAUAAGUAUUGAGAAAAAGCUCACAAUAUGAUGAUAUUUUGCACGCAGCUGUUUUAUUUUUAUUUGUAGACCAUCUGGUCUUCUAGUUAUUAGGUUUCCUUUUCAAGUGGGGAGAAAACUUACCAAUAGAUCUUUGGUCCAGUGGGAGAGUUCUUACACUUACAAUAUUGAAUGUAAGAGUUCAAGUUUCUAUAAAAGUAUUUAUGGGGGUUAUUUACAAUUUUUUCUUAAUUAUUUAAUAAUUGAGUGGAGCCAGUCUAUGUCUCACGAAAUAUGAGUGGAGUGGACAGUCCUCGAAUAUUUGAGAUAGUUUGAAGAAUUUGGGCAGAGUUUCAGAGGGGUACAUGCCAUAAAAAAUAUCCCAAUUGUAAAAUCUGUUUAUAAAUAUUAAUUAUAAUACCUACAAUCCUAUAUAACAGUAUUAAAAAAAAAAAAAGUGGGGAGGAAACUUUGUCCGUGGCCAUAGAUUUAUUGCAAUCGUACGAAUAAGUUUAUAUUUGUGUUUCCGUCCUUAAAGAUUGAGACUGAUGAUAACACACUAGGCCAUACCCCUUAAUUAACCUCACAUUAAUGCACACAGCAAAUAACCUAUACAAGCCGUUUGGACGACUUGUCAGGACGACCCAUUUUGGGAUAUACAAUUGGAAAUUAAUUACUUGAACUAGCUAUGGUGAAACUUAUAUAUAAAUGCCUAAUUAAAGCCUGAACCAUGAAUGGUUUUGAGAUAAGAAAUCUUUGUCAAGAUACUUGGGCGAUUAAUUAUGUGUUCAUCUUAAAUGUUGAACCAGCCUAACAUGCAAGAGACUCAACAGUCCACAUAGAAUGUUAGGUUGGCUUGGCUUCAACUCUUUGCUAGUUGUUGUGAAAAACCCAAAAAAAGCAAAAAAAGGGGAAAAAAAAAUACAAAUAAACUUUUUGUUAGUUGAGACGUUGAACGUUAAGUUCCUUUGCUAAUACUCGCAAUUAUUGACGGUCGGUGGUGUAAUCCACAAAUUAUGUUGAUAAAUAUAUGGAUUUGCAAAUACCUUGAUUAUAUGUAAUGCUUUUAAAAAUUAAUUAAUCGUAGCUUAAAUAUAUGACAUCAACGGAGACGUAAGCAAUACGGGGACCUAAAUUGUCAUGUUAGUUUCUGCCUCUAAUAGGAAGCUUUGGCAUUAAAGAAUCAAUUACAUCAACGUUAAGUUAAUUUAUCAAAUUAUAUUUGAUGAUUCUGGAUUCAUGUUGAUCGAACCUGCAACGUCAAAGCCACUUUAAUUAGUAAAGCCGGUUCCAAUAAAAUCAUUCAAAAUUUUGGAGGCAUUUACUUUUGAGAUGCUUCACCAAACCAUGAGAUUUUUCUUGCUCUUGAAUCCUCUUUGAUGACGAAUGUGACAGCUUAUCCACUCCCCAUAUCGUUAAUCAUGAAAUUAAUGAAAAGUAUAAAACCAAAUGAACAGACAUGAUUAAGAAUUUUAAUAAGCCUAGGGUGGGUUUUUUUAUGCUCAAUUUGGCUAAAUUAAAGAAAUAUUUAAAAAAAAACUAUUUUCAUCAUUUUGUUUAGAAAUCAAAGAUAAAUAAAUAAAUUGUAAAUUAAUGGCAUAAUAAUAAUAAUGAGAAAUGUCAAAAUAAAAAAUAUGAGAGUAUCACUAAAAAAACUCUUCUAAUUUAACUAUUUAAAUAUUUGUUUGCUUAAUUAUUUGACAAAUAGAAAAGUUAAAAAAAAAAGUCAUAUUUUAAAAGACUUUUCAAAUAAAAAUAAAUUUAUGUUUUUUUAGCCAAAAUUUUUUCUCCACAAAAAUAAUAACAAUUACAACACAUUUCUCCCUUUAAGAAUAAGAAGAUAAAAAAUAAUAUAACAAUAAGAGACUCUCUAAAUGAGAUUUUUCAUAUGACUAAAGAAGAAAGAAGGAUAACCUUAUUUAAAAAGUUUUUUAAAAUAUUUUUCACUUCAAAUAAUAAGUAAAGAAAUUUUGAGUGACGUUCUAGGGAGAAUUUUUUUUUUAAAAAGGUUAUGAGAAUUUAAUCAAUUUAUUGUUUAGUAUUAAUCAAAGACAAAGUGGGUCCAGAUCAAAGUCGUCACGUGGAGAGUGUUCAAGGCCAAUGUGAGGAAGACAAAGGGCGCUCUCUCACAAAAGGGACCGAAAACUGUCUCACACGGCUCCACCAACUUCUCUUCUUUUGUUUGACUUUUUCAUUGGUCCAAUUAGUUUGUGACACCUGUAAAGACUCAUAGAAACCGAGCCUCUUCGAGUCACAGCAGAAUAUAGAAUUAGAAAAUGACGUGGCUCACGCUCCAGCUCCCUUUAAAAAUACUCAAAAGUGUAUUUGCUUGGAAGCAUAGUCAGGAAGCAACCUUCAUGCUUAAACAAUCUUUCAUGUCUUGUGUCACCUCCCAAACUCAAAUAUACAAAAACAUUAAAACCAAAAAGGCAACCUCAUAAUCAUAAUAAUAAUAAUAAUAUCACAAUACCUACAUUAAAUAACACUUGUGACAACCAACAAAGUGUUGGCUCCACUGGUAAUGGAGUCCCCUUAAGUGGCUUGACUGGGUUUGCUCCCCAAUUCGAGUCGCAGGGAAGUCGCCUUUGUUGAGAGAAUCUGUGUCUCCCGGUUCGAGCGGGGACUUCUAGUCUGAGUUGUGGUACGGGCUUAAAAGUGCCUCCCACAGUUGGAGCCCUCCCCAGGAUAUCUCGUGAUUAAUAUCAAAAAAAAAAAAAAAAUAACACUUGUGACAUUCAACAAGUUGUCUCUUUAAUCAUAUGCAUUUAUAUUAAUAUUAUAUUCCAUACCUUACCUAAGAUUGAAAGACUAUGCUCAUUUUUUUUUGUUAGAUAUUAAUAUCCAAAAUGCACUCACUUUGAUUAUUAAUUUAAUGUUUAAAGAUAUGCAUUUAGAUGCAUCACAUGCUACUAACAAACUGAUGUUCAUGGGUAACAACUGUAAACGUUGAACUUGAGAGGGAGAAAAUUUGUUUACGAGCUUUAUUCAAAAGAAGUGUGCUUUUGCUCUCAAAAGCCACUAAACGACAUAGUAAAAGCAUUCAAAUUUCAAACGGUCGUGGCCUUCGCUUGCUCUUUGGUACAAAGAAAAUCGAGUGAAUUAAAAUUUGAUGGGGACGGACAAAUUGGCCAGCGACCCUUGAUUUUAGCCACUUAAUGACAGCUGUUAAUCUAAUUGCACUGGCUUAAUAAAAGUAAAACGGGGGCCGAUUAUAUCGCGAUAUUUUAACGAUUCAUAGAAAUCAUUGAUUAAAAUUAGGUUACGGCAAUGUCACGUGGUAACCGGCGCAAAUACCGGAACGGCGAUUGGCCCGAUCCCGGCUCCCUAAUACGGCUGCUAACGUAAAAUAAAAUUGUUUCUCUUAUUACGAAUGUUCUAAAUUCAUCUUUUUUUUUACUGUUACAAGAGUUUUUCAUUGGCCAAAUAAUCCGACAUUCUUAAAUAUAAAUAUAAUUGUUGUUUAUCAUAUCUACAAUUACUUUUUUUUUUAUAAUAGACAAUAAUUUUAAUAUAUCAUUUUUGUGUUUUUUUUUAUAAGUCACCCAUUUAAAAAGAAAAAGAUACAAGAUGUUGUUUAAAAUCAUUUCACAUGGAUAUAUUUUUAUUUAUUCAUAAUAUACGAUAAUCAUAUAAAGCUUUUAAAAAAAUAACCGUGUAAAUUUAACAUUAAUGAUUCAUUGAUAAUGAACAUAAUCAUAGAAUGGUUCAAAAUAAUUUAAUUGCUCUUAAAUAUGUUGAACUCUUAUUUCAUCAUAAUUUGAAUUAAAAAUUUUGUUAUUUAAUAACUAAAAUGUAUAUAUAUUUGUUUCUUCGUUUAAUUUGAUGGAUCAUGGAUCCAUAUUGCUAAUGUGAGAUAAAAAUUUUCUCAUAAUUUAAAUUUUUAUGAGUUUUUAAAUAAUAAUAUAUGAAUAAGAUUUAAAUUUUUUAUUUUUUUAUUUAUUAACUACUAAUUACUUAUAUAUAUUUACACGAAAUUAAAUGAUAAAGAGAAUCCUAUUCCCCUGUUGGCACGGACUCUCACAUUAUCAUAACACCCGAGAUCUGGUUUUCUCGUCUCACGAGAUUGACGUUAUUGAAAAAAAAAAAAAAAAAGCACCAGCCAUACUGUUAAUGCAAUCAUUAGCAGAGAAAAAAAAUCUAAUAGAAGCAUGUGUAGAGCUCCAAAAGCAUAAUCCUCCCAAAACCGCCCUACCAUUUUAACUCAAAAUUACAGAUAGCAGAUCAACAACACUCUUUGCAUUUUCCAUUUUGUAGUUCAAUUAUCCAUUAUUUGAUUUUUCUGUUCUACAUUUUUUUUUUUUUUACCUGGAACAAGAAGAUCUUUAUCUUCUUUAGCUAGUAACAAAAACCUCUCUUUGAAUCCAAGUUUCUCUCACAUCUCCUUUUGUCUUUUAACUUGACAUAUCUGUCUUGAGUUUACUCUUUCAACGGAUUUGCUUUCAUGGGUAGUUGCAAAAUCUUUGAUUUAAACUCACAAAAACUGUACUAAAAACUUUAUCUGGUUCUUGUUAACAAGGGCGGAUUUGUAGUACAUUAUUGAACUUUAAGUCAGUUUUAGAGUUUUAGUGUACUUACAUUUGUCUUCAUAAACACUAGUAUCCAAGUCAUUUGAUUUUUCUUUUUCUUUUUCCUCUUUUGAAGUUUCGUUAAUGAGUUCUUGUUUUGAGUCUUGUGGUUUCUAGAAGACUAUUGGGUGGUAAAAGAUAGAAUCUUGAACUGAAAAUGAGAUCAUACUCGUCACUUGAGCUUCUGUUUGUUCUCUCUGGAGUUCUUUUUGCAACCUGCAAUGCCUUUGCUACAAAUGAAUGUAAUGUUUCGUUUGUUUACUUUUUGUCUUGCCUCAGAUCUCGAAUCUUUUGAUUGUGUUAAUUGUUCUCUUUUUCCAACAUUUUCUUAGUGACCAAAUAGUCUAUUAGCGCUGUUGAGGUCAUGUGAUCGUAAUUUUACUAAAUGGGAGUUGUGUAUUUUCCUCAGUUUGGGCUCUUACAACAUUCAAGGAAGCAAUAUAUGAAGACCCCCAUCUGGUUUUGUCCAACUGGAAUGCCCUUGAUGCAGAUCCUUGUCAUUGGACUGGCAUUGCUUGUUCUGAUGCUAGAGACCGUGUUCUAAAGAUGUAAGAGAUGAUUUGUUACUCAGUUGUAUUGUGGUACUUCUUUGACUGGAUUUCCAUAGAUAUGCAUAGUUUGGUUAAAUACAUGUUUGGGAGAAUCAUGCCUCACCGAUUUGUAUGAGGAUUUUGUUUUGUAGAAACAUCUCUGGAUCAUCUUUAAAGGGAUUUCUUGCGCCAGAGUUGGGUCUGCUGACGUACUUGCAGGAGCUGUAAGCUCUUAUUUAUUUUUGUCUUUUCCUACCGGCUGAAGUAUUAUACUUUUUUACGGUGAUUGAGGUUUAAUAUCACACGUUCUUGUCUUGUAGAAUUCUGCAUGGGAACAAUUUGAUUGGGAUAAUACCUAAAGAAUUGGGCUUGUUGAAACGUCUGAAGAUCUUGGAUUUGGGGACGAACCAAUUAACAGGUCCAAUUCCUCCAGAGAUUGGGAACUUGACUGGUUUGGUGAAAAUGUAAAUGAAAUUUAUUGUUUGUUCCCAAAGAACUGGAUUUUAUGCUUCGCACUCCUUGAAUAUUUUAACCGGUCAACGUACCUAUGUUGCAGAAACCUUCAGUCUAAUGGGUUGACUGGGAGACUGCCUGCCGAGCUCGGUAAUUUGAUUUCUCUUGAGGAACUUCAUCUAGAUAGAAAUAGGCUUCAAGGCGCUGUUCCUGCUGGCAGCAAUUCCGGCUACACAGCUAACAUUCACGGAAUGUAAGUAGAUGAUUCUUGCUUUCGAGGUAGUUAAUUUGGUUCUGAUAGACUGAUCAAGGCAAAGCAUGAGCAUUAUUGGCUUUUCAAACUCUUUAGAUGUCCUUGUGUAGCAUAUUUGUGGGCAGAAUCAUGCCAUAUUUGACAAUCUGAAAUUAAUUUCAAAAAUGGGAAAGGUAGCCAAGUAUAUAAUUCCAUGUUAAUUAUUUUCCUGGACUUAGUUAACUAGUGAGACGCUAUUAGCUUCCUUUUCUUUUUUACUUCCUCAGUGUUCCAUAUUUUGGCAGGAUUAUAAGGAUAUUGAUAAUUUUUAUUCAUAAAUGAUAGCUUUACUUGUUGAAUACUGUCAAUGUACCGUCCUAGUAUGUGUAAUACUUUUGUGGCUCAUCCUUAUUUGGAAAAUUACGUCAUUCUAAGCCUUAUUUGAUGGUUUUAGUUUCCUAAUAAAUUUUCUUGAAAUUUAUUUCUGGUGCAGGUAUGCCUCAAGUGCAAACCUAACUGGCUUGUGUCACUUGUCUCAGUUAAAAGUUGCAGAUUUCUCGUACAACUUCUUUGUUGGAAGCAUACCUAAGUGCUUGGAGUAUCUUCCAAGGUACCUGCACCUUUGUGAUGGGGCUUUCUGUUUUUUUUUUUUUUUUCCUGUUAGCUUAUUUUUGGUCUACUUAUAUCUUGUAGUACAAGCUUUCAGGGGAACUGUCUACGGAACAAAGAUCCCAAACAACGUGCAACUACUUUAUGUGGUAUGCUAGGCUUCAUUUCACAUUUGGGCUUAGUUGAGAUGGAAUUUAAGAUGUCCUACUCUGCAGAUAAAAAUGCUGAUUUCACUUCUGUAAUGGAAUAUAUUUUAAAUUUUAUGUAUUUAAUUUGAAAUACAGUCACCUAGUUGUCUAGUUGAAGUCUCCAAUACUUUUCUUUUCGAUAUGGCUUAACCAUUCAAUACCAAUUAACAAAAUCCCUCUUCUAGGUGGUGCUCCUCCUGCCAGAACCCGUGCUGGAUUAAGCCCUAAGCACCAAGCAGCUGAAGAUGUGUCCAAGCACCAGUCUGCAUCAAGACCUGCCUGGCUUUUAACUCUUGAAAUAGUGACUGGAACCAUGGUGGGUGUUCUCUUUCUCGUUGCUGGUUUCACUGGACUCCAGAGAUGCAAGAGCAAACCUUCCAUAAUAAUCCCUUGGAAGAAAUCGGCUAGUGAGAAGGAUCACAUAUAUAUAGGUUAGGCACCUUACUUGGCAAUUAAUAUGUCUGCUUCAGUGCUACUUCAGUAGUUUAUUGCUCAAGCAAAAAAAUUGGUUAAAAUGGUGGGAUUGUUGUACAGAUUCUGAGAUCUUGAAAGAUGUGGUGAGAUUCAGCAGACAAGAGCUGGAAGUAGCCUGUGAAGACUUCAGCAACAUCAUUGGCUCUUCACCAGACAGUUUGGUCUACAAGGGCACCAUGAAGGGUGGGCCUGAGAUUGCUGUAAUAUCCCUCUGCAUUAAAGAAGAGCAUUGGACAGGCUAUCUUGAGCUCUAUUUCCAGAGAGAGGUAAUUACUCAUCCUUAACUGCAGGAAAUUUUAAUGUAAAGCCUCCAUGAGGGAGUACCAAACACCUAGCAAAAGUUAUAAACUUGGAACAAUCAAGCUUUCGGUUGUAUGGACUUUCAGGUGGCAGACUUGGCAAGAAUAAAUCACGAGAAUACAGGAAAGCUGCUAGGCUAUUGCAGAGAGAGCUCCCCAUUUACAAGAAUGUUGGUUUUCGAUUAUGCAUCAAAUGGAACUCUAUAUGAGCAUCUCCAUUGUAAGUCAAGUUCCUUAUACAUAAUUGGAUUGUCUAUGAUGCUUCCUUAGAUUAAACCUCAGCAACCAAUGUGGCUGCAGAUGGUGAACGAUGCCAAGUAUCUUGGACACGGCGUAUGAAAAUUGUAAUAGGUAUUGCACAUGGACUCAAGUAUCUCCAUACAGAACUUGACCCUCCUUUUACUAUAUCAGAGUUGAAUUCUAGUGCUGUAUAUCUUACUGAAGACUUUUCUCCCAAGGUAUCCCCGCUGUGUUUAUCUUUUCUGUUAGUUUCAAGUAUAAUAUGCUAGUAUUUUCUACAUAAUUGAAUGAAUGUUUUAGCUGAAGUCACUUUUGGCUUGUUCAUUACAAAAGAAUCUACCAAAUGCUAGAAACAACAUUUCCUUAAUUAUAUAAACAUUGUUUUUAAGAACAUCUUUUGACUUCUGCUGCAGCUGGUUGAUUUUGAAAGUUGGAAGACAAUUCUUGCAAGAUCGGAGAAGAACCCUGGCACUCUUGGCAGCCAAGGUGCUAUCUGCAUACUUCCAAGUUCUCUUGAGGCACGGCAUUUGGAUGUCCAAGGCAACAUUUAUGCAUUUGGUGUGCUUCUGCUGGAAAUAAUCAGUGGGAGACCUCCACGCUGCAAGGACAAAGGGAACUUGGUAGAUUGGGUAUAAUUCAUGAAGCUUCUGAACUUGAAUAUUGUUUCUAUUCAUUCUCUAAUUAUUACUUGAGUUGAAGCUAACACCAAAAACUUCUAAUAUUUGGCAGGCUAAGGAUUAUCUUGAAUUGCCAGAAGUAAUGUCAUAUGUGGUGGAUCCUGAGUUGAAACAUUUUAGUUACAAUGACCUCAAAGUUAUCUGCGAAGUGGUGAACUUGUGCGUCAAUCCAGACAUCACCAAGCGACCAUCCAUGCAGGAAUUGUGCACAAUGUUGGUGGGCAGAAUUGACACUUCCAUAUCAGUUGAGCUUAAGGCAUCAUCUUUGGCAUGGGCUGAGCUUGCACUUUCAUCAUGAUUGAAUUGAUGCUAACACACCGUAGAUUAGAUAUAUACGAUUGUAUUACUCUAUUCCUUUUUCUACCUGCGAUUUCUCGUCGUCCUUGUAAAUGUUGCUGAAAGAAACAUAGAGCUUCGUGUGUGACAAAGUCUACUCACUGUAUACCAUUUGGAUAAUCAGUAAGAAAAGUUCUGAAAUCACAAUAUAGUAAAAAAGGAAGCCCCUAUGUUACAAUUAAUGUAACAAACACACUCAACAACAACUACACAAAUGAUGGGCCCACACAAUUUGUUCUUGCUCAAGGGCAUUAACUUGGUCGCUCUGGUUAUAUAUUUUCUCUAAUCUUUUUAUUUUGUACAGUUCACCGACUUGUGAAUUCUCUCUAAUGCAAGACAGCAUUCACGAUGAUGGGUUGGUCAGAAUUUUCCUUCCACAACCCGGAAUGGUGAGGCUGCUUUGAUUGUGCUUAUGCUAAAUUAACGAAAAAUAAGCUUAUUUUAGGAUAAGGUAAUCACGAAUAAUUAUACCACUUUUUGUAAAAAAAAGGCUGGGAGGACAUUCUGCCUGAUGGGACAAACAUGUGAUCCUCUGAUACAAUUUUAAGCCGAAAAUUGGAGUUAUGUAGAUUGAGAUUCCGGCCUUCAAAUAACAAUUGCUCUGAUGAUUCCUGGGCUAGCUACAAUACAAGCACUUUCUUCCAUUGGUUUGUUUUACCAUCAUAACAGUACUAUCACAUAGUAACCAAAUCAAAAUUGUACUAUGCUGGCAGAAAAUUUAUAUAUAUGGCUGACCUUUAGAUCUCAGUUCAACAACUCUUGAUGAAUCAAGAAGUGCUAAGUACUGAAAAUGUAACUAUUAGAUAAACGCAUUUUAUCCCUGAAAAUGAAAAACAAAACUGAAGUAGAAGAAACUAAUGUUUAGGAUGGGAGUAAUGAUUGUCAUUUGGAUUCCUCCUCCCGCUGAAAACUGCCAAUGCCUUUCUUAUGGGAGGCUGCAGAGGAGCUCUUUUAUCAGUAUGAUGUUUGAAUAUAUCAUCAGAAGUGACGAAGUUGUCUCCCUGGAUAAUGAGUACAAAUCAGCAUCACACUAAAUUUAACACAAACUAGCAUUUACAAAAUUCAAAAUUCAGGUACAACAAAACCAGAGGUGCUCAAACUGAAGGUAACUAGAACAAGGAAAAACCACUAACCUCCUUAUUUACUUUCUUCUUGUUUUUAGGAUAAAGGUACUUUUGUGGAAGUUGAUCUUCACGUAAAAUUAGAUUCUUUGUAAUGGCAUCCCUUCCACCUUGGGGCAUAGGUAGUGAAAACUGUAAACAGCCAAAUGUCAAGCCACACAGUGGAUAAAAGCUUGCAAAAAUGCUCCAGCAAAAAGUAUCAAACUGUACAAUGGUUUCAAGGAUUUUGAUAAGAAUGUCCAAUUAACAAGGUCUCACAGGAACAUUAAAUUUGACAAACAAUGUAAAUGAAGCUUACGGACAAUAACUCAACACACAACCAAGUUACAGUUGAGAGUCUCGAGAAAGAGUUUACAGCUUAUCCCCUAUAAAGAUAUACUUACUUUUGUUCCACGCAGCGUAAUGCGAGGCCGACGAGAUGCUAAUACAAUUCCAUUUUCAGCGACUGUAACAGCUACCUUGCGUAAAGUGCCACCAUUUCCACACUUUGGGCAGAAAAUCCUCCCAAUUUCAGCAGUGAUAGUGUAGCAGGCAUGGCAUUUCAGUAUCCACCUGGGUAUACAGACAUAUCAAGAUAAGCAUAAACACCAUUGAGAUACUUAUUUCAUGAUUAGACAUUAUACGAAUCACCCAGGGGAAUGGUGAAGAAAAAAGAUUUAAACAUUUGUCAACUAUAUACCUAUGUAGCUGGCGGAUCUGCAUUCCUCCGGGUGCCAAUAAGCGUAAACCCAUCUGCAGAAUAACAUUUUGCAUUGCAUAGUCACCAGUUAUACAGGCAACAGUGGACUCAGACAAGGAUCUCAACAUCCAACUCUGUUCACUGCAUUCAUCAUCCACGUAUGAUACAUCAACACUUUCAUUGUUCUUGCUUGAGAUCUCCAUUUGAUCUACAUUUUCAUUGGUGGUAUCAACUUCACCUCCUUCAACAGUUGAAUUUCCAUUGACAUCAGAAGUUGCUUCCACCACGGGGGAAAUAUCAGAAUCAUGAGUAGUAGAACAAAUGUCAACUUCAUUGCCUUCCGGGAGAGCCUUCAAUGAAUCUUCUUCAAGCCUCAUUUGGUUUAAUAUUGAGGAAAGUUCUUCACUGCCGCUCUUCUCUGUUUUCUCACUCUCCUCAGAAAUCCCAUUUGUAUCACGAGCUUCUUCAGAGCCCAGAUGCAACUGCUGCUCUAGGUUACCAGAUUCAUCAACAUUGUUGCUAUCAUCACCCAUCUCCUUCUCUUGCUGACUAUCUUUGUCAGUUAAUGAGUCGUAAUAUUCACGCCUUGCUUUUCUUCUAACAUACCUUCUAUGAGUACUUCGGCUGACAGCAGGCAUCCAAUCAGCAGCAUCAUCUUCAACUUGCCCUUGAGAAGCAUCAAUUCCAGCAGCCACCAUCUUCUUCCCUUCAAUAUUCACCUCAAUCUUCUUUGGCAAAUAUCUCCUAGGUCUCCUCAAUCCAUGUUCACCAUCCUCUUGAUUUUCAGAGUUACCCCCACCUUGAGACUCCACAGACCCAUUUUCAGAAUGGUAAUCCCCAGCAAUGACAUUCAGAUUCAGGUCUCUCAAGGGAAGGAUUCUUGAAUUGGUGUUUAACUUAUCCGCAUUGUCAUUAUCUAACGCUUCCCACUCUUCUAAAUUGGCAACGUUAGACCCCCAACCAGGCAAAUCCUUCUCCGGUAAUCUCUUCACAUUCACUGUAUGAAGAGGAGGAGGUGCAUCCCUGAGGUGCUUAGUCCCAUGCAUCUGAGUCUCCAGUGUGCAAGUCAAUGCAAUAAGCUUAAGAUCAACAUCCGAAAGAGUCUGUAAAUCACCCGUUGCCCUCGCAAACUUUAUAACUGCAAGCCGCAACGAAGCACUUUUUAAUACAUUGAACAAAACAAAUUAAAAAAAAAUGAAUUAAUUACAUUUUUUUUAAUUUCUCUAACUAAGCACUAAUGGUGCAAUCUCAGAUUUUUUUUUUUAAAUAUCUAACCAAAUUGUUAUGCAACAAUAAAAUAAAAAAAAUGAAUAAAUGGAUAUUUGCCUUUAUUGAGGCAAUCAGGAGAAGGCUCCAUGGAAUCGAUAGAGAACGGGGUGAAGUUGAGGCGGUUGCGGGAAACGGGAUCGCGAAUUUCAGCUAAAACCUCCGGUACGGUAACGAACUUAUCGGCGAAGUUGGUGAGAUUGUGAGCUCCUUGGAUUAUUGCAUUGGCGUCGACCACAGCAACCGCUAUUCCCUCUGUAAAGUUGCAGCUCUGAGCUAAGAUUUCGGCGGCUGGCACCGUUUUGGUCUGCGUCGCGGCGCUUUGCGGCGGUUGUGUUUUGACUAUGUUGCUCCAGCAUGAGCUGGAGUUUGGGGUCGAAUCCAUACCUAGGGUUUCCGAGGGGGCGAGAGAGCGAAGAACGUAAGAGAUGAUGUUCUUAAAACCCUAGUUUGAGUUUUUGAGGGAGUGGGGGAGGAGAAACAGGUGUUACGAUGUCGUUUCUACUUCUUUUUAAGGAAGACAAAUAAAACGACAAGUAAAAUGAUGCUGUUUUAACUUGUAUUAUUGUCCGUAGUCAUGUCGUUCUUUUAUUUCCUCUUUGUAAGCUAUGUCGUUCAUUUUGGUUCGAUGGCCCAAUUUUCUUAUGGCCCAUAAUCAACAAAACCACGAAUACAGUUAUCAACGUACGUUGCAAUAUUCUAUUAUUAUUGUUAGCGACUCGGUUCAGAUAAGAUCGCCGGGUUUUUAUUUUUUAUUUUAUUUAUUUAUUCAGUAUUUCAGUUUUCAUUUGUUAAUUUCUCAAGGAAUUGAAUUCAAAAGAUUGGAGGCGUUUGUGCUCAUUUUGCAAGUAUUUUAAAAUAAUUAAGGAAAAUCAGUGUACAAGAAAAUGGAAGUAAAUCAGUAAUAAUUGAAAAUUGAUUUUUGUUAGAUGAAUUUGUAUUUUGUGAGCCUUCUUUCUUGAGAGCUCACAAGAAUGUAUUUCAAAUAGCGUGCUUCCUUUAUGUGGCCAUUAAAAUAAUAAAUAAAUAAAAAAUGUACAAAAUCACCACUCAUACAUGGCAUUUUGUUUGGGGAUUUUUUUUUUUUUUUUUUUGGGUUUAUCACAGAAUAUGAUUGAUCAUCUUUCACCGGCCGGAAUGGACACCCUGCUGAUGAUUUUAAAGAUUGAACUUCUAUGUAACUGUUAAUCAUGAACCAUAUAUUACAAGAGAGAAAGAGAGCUGACAGCCCAAGUUAAAAGCAAUGGCUAGCUACUUAAAGAAAGAGGAUAAAUAAUCCCUACCGAGGACUGAUCGAGUAGUGAACAAUAAUCAAUCUUCUAUUGAAAUUGGAAACCGAUCAUCGAUGGAUGGAGCCAUGCAUAGCUCUUUUACACGAAGCAAUUUUAAAAGCAAUAAAAGUUUCGAAGCUUUCAGAAGGAAUGCAUAACAAGAUUAAUGAUGGCAACGUACAAUUAAACAAAUAAAAUUGACAAAAGAAAAGAGAAAGGCCCCCAAAUUAGCUAGACACGAAAUUAAUGAAGAGAGAGAGAUGUGUGGCAAUUGGUUAUUAGAGUGCUCGUGAUUUAACAAUGUCCAAGCUCAUCUCGCUAGGAUCAGUAGCUUGCAACUCGACUUGAACCCCAUCCAAUUCUCUUCUGAACCUAUCUUUUGAACUAGCAUACAACAUUUUACUCCUGAUCCUUGAUGUAUCUGGAGACCUGGAACAAUCGGUAUUACUUAAUUAAAUUAACCCGUAUAAUAAAAUACUAAAAUUGGUUUAUUAUAAACGUACCAUGCAACGAAGAAAAUCUUGCUCUUUUGGCAAUUCUCAUCAGUGGUGAAAUCGAAAUCAUAGACGGCGUAGCGGCACUCAUCAGCUGGCAAACUGGCAGUGAAAUCCUCGUAGCUUUCAUUAGGUUCUCCCAGUUUCUCGACGGUCACCUGUUGAAUUUUUUCCUCUAUUUUGAACACAAUGAAUCGGUAACUCCGCUUUGCUUUUAGUUCCAAGAACUUCAGCUUACAGUCAUCAUGCACAGCCAUCCCCGAUGAGGAAUUUGCCUGCAUGUCCCCAUAAUAUCCCGACCCACACGCACACACAUAUAUAUAUAAAACACAAAAAUAAUUAAUUAUAUUUAAUUUGUCAAGAUAUACAUAUAAUGAAACCUAGCUAAUUUAACCCAUUUCAUCAAUAUAGUUAAUUAAUUGUUUCUCUGAGAAAUUUGGGAGUCGCAUGUUACACAGUCUGCGACAUAUGGGGUUGCUGCAACAACCAAUACAUAUCUAACUUGGCAGAUCAAAUUGUCUGACGUUAAAAUGCAUGAAAUCAAAUUUGUUACACAAAGAAGAUAUCGGCAACAUGCACUGUGAUUCAAAUGUUCUUACAGAAUCAGGCAAAUUCUUGAUCAUGCUACGGGCCAUAUUACUACCUAACCACAUGCAUGCAAUUUUGUAUCUACAACAACAAUUAAUCAAGAAACCAAAAGAUUGAAAAGAUGAAACACAUACCAUUUUGCCACUAAUGAGAGAAAUCUGGAUUUGAGAAAUGUGAAAGGAAGAAGGAAAUAGGGGCAAGAGAAUCAAAGUGAAAAUAUGUUAGUAAAAAAGAGAAACGAGAUCCUUCUUUUCUGGAGCUAUGAGAGGUGCACAUUUGAAGAUGUCCGAAAUAGAUGGACGCAAGACAAAUAUUAAGGGAGGAAUUGCUAUUUAGUUUUUCUGGGCAAAUCAUGUCCACAAAUUCUAUUUUACCUAUUUUAAUCCAAACUCAUUUGGCCGAAGUGAUUUAUCCAUCAAGCACAUGAAUGCCCCUGUGAUAUAAGGUUAAUGGUAGCGAUGUUUUACAACUUUAGCAAAACGUGCAUGUAUAGAGAGGGGGAAAAAAGUUUCAUAAGGUUAACUGCGAUUCUUGAAGGCGUGAAUGUAGUUUAAUAUAUAUCUUAGGGAUAUUAAGCAAAGAAAAAAAAGUUAAUUUAUUAAAUCAGCCUUAAAAGGAAAAUAAAAAUUAAGAAAUUUUUUUAUGUUAUUAUUUUAUUUUUAUGAUUAAUUUGAUAAAUUUUUUUAUAAAAAAUUAUUAAUAAAAUUAUUAUAACGAUAUUAAACAUUACUUUAAGUUGGUUGAUAUUAAUUUAUCUAUAAAUAAUUAUUAGUAAGAUUGUUGUCAGGUACAAAAAAUACUAAUUCUAUCAUACUUAUAUCUAUUAGUAAUUUACUAAUAAAUAAUUAUUUUUUAAUUUACUAAUUACUUUUUUUACAUAAAUUAAUCAAUAUUAAGAAAAUUUUUGCACGAGUAUUAUUGUAAAAAAAAGUAAGGAUAAGAAUGUGACAUAAUUAACAGAAAAAAUAUUUUGAGAUAUCUUUUAAAAUACAAAAACUAAACAGAUAGUUAAAUAAAAAUAAUAUUAACUUGUGUUUAAUCAAACCACCUCAAUGUGUUUUACUCACAUGAAAAUUAUAUAUCGGUGAUACUUGCAUCAUCUUACAUAAAUUUUUUUAUUUAAAAAGACAACUAUCAUGACCAUUUAAUCAAACAAUAUACACACAAUUGCUAAACUCUCCCACAACUCGAAAAAAGUUGGAAGUUGGUCUUUAAGAAUCCUAUGAUGGGUUCUUUUAAAAUAAUUAUGAAAAGCAAAAACUGAAAGAAAAAUGUUUCACGUAUAUGAAAUAAGAGUAGGUGUUUUGAAAUCCGUUAAAAUUUCUCAUAAAAUCUAUUUUUAAUUGAAAUUAUCUAAGUAAUUAAAGAAUAAAUUAAUUUCUUAUUUUGAAUAGAAAUUUAAUUAAACACUUAAAUACAUCCUUCUUUUAAUAAAUUGUUACAUCCGUCUCAUUUCAUAAUUUAUAUUUUAAUUAAAAAUAUAUUUUUAAAAAAAAAUUGUAAGAGUUUUUUUUUUAAAAUUUUGUACCCUUCUGAUGUUGAAUAGUGGAUACAGUUUUUUGAGAUUUUGGAGUAACUAAUUGCAAAAGUCAGAGUUGUUCCCAUAAUUUUAUUUUUUUGAAAAAAAAAAACUGAGUUAGAGACCAUUUUGAUAUGGAUGAUCAAAUAUGUUGACCCAUCAAUGUGAUAUCCAAAUUUUUUAAGGUAAAAAUAAUAAUAAGCUUUGUGAAGUUUCAGGAGCUUAUUUUUUUGACUAGUGUCAACUGCUAUCCAUUCUGAUAGGUUAAAAUUAUCUUCUCAUAAAAAUAUUACUUUUGUUUAAUCAAACCAUCCGGUCCAUCCCAGUGCUUAGUCAUGGGAAUUUAUUUAUUUUUCGUUUUUGUUUUGUUCUUAAUGAUUAUUGCAUUUAUUUAAAAUGUUUGAUAGAACUUUACUAUAACUAAUUACAUGACAAGAAGUAAGCUUUCUUGCAUGAUCUUUGGGCAUCUUAUGAGGUGGAUUUUAGUGUGGCAAAUGUAGAUUUUAGUCAUUACAUUAAUUUGUUAAUUAUUACCUAUUUGAGAAAAUUAAAAAUUACGUCUUAUAUACUAUAAAUAUAUUUUAUAAAUACAAAAAUCAAAAUAAUUUUAGUAUUAUUUAAUCAAAAAUAUUUUGUGAUAACAAAUUAAUUAUUUAUGUUUUAGAAAUAAAAUUUUCAUUUAUAAUCUGAUCCAAUAAACAUCAAACACAAGACAAUACUAAUUAUAAUCUAAUCCGAUCAUAUCCGAAUGUAUCCAUUCGGCAUUCUGAGAACACCUUAAAAGAACUCUACAAUUAAAAAAAAAAAAAAAAAAGCAGCCCAAUCUGAUUAUUAGCUCAAUUAAAAGGAUGGCAGACACAGCUGCUCAAGCUCUCUUCAUGAGGUGGCCAGAGUACAUCUUUUCAUGAUAAAAUGCUAAACUUCAUUUUCACUACCAUUUAUAUAUAGGUGCCGGCAGUAAUGGCAAAUUUAGCCUAAAGUCGAGCUUUAAAAAGGUAUGAUAAUCAUUCAUUCUUGAGUUUCUUAUUUUUGCAAAUACAGAAAUGGAAACUAAGGAAACAAGAAGACAUAUUAUGUUUGCUGUCAAUUUACACAAGAAUCUGGCAUAUGCUGUCAAACAGAAAUUUGACUUCAUAAAACUGUAAAAAUCACUGUAAGGAAAAACAUUUUCCAUGUACGAGGCAUGCAACGGUCACUUUCUAAAUGAAUCCCACAGCACACCUAAAUCAACAUUACCUCCUGAAAGUACAAUUCCUAUCUUUUUACUAUCUUGCCAAGCAGGAUUCUUUCUGAAACCGUCUGAUAAAACAGCGGCGAGGCCUAUGGCUCCACUAGGUUCUACUGCCACCUUCAGAAUCUCAUAACAGAGUUUCAUGGCUUCUAUUAUCUCCUUAUCCUCCACAGUAAUUACGUCAUCAACAAGAUCUCGUACAAUUGGCCUGCACCAUAAGAGAGAAAGGCAUAUAAUAUAAAUUAAUUCCAUAAACUGGAAUUGAUUUACAGAUGAAGGCAGGCUGGCGAAAGAGAUGAAAUAAAGUCAUGAAUUUCUUCACUCUUGAGACAAACGUAAGUAUAAAAAGGACGAGCAGAAUCAAACUUUACAUUUCAGUGUGCAAGAGAAAAUUUGUAACCUUCAUGCAUCAAUUAAUUAUCAAGAUUGUCUUUACCACGUAAGAUCUCCAAGAAAAGCUCGGAGCCCAUCAGCAACAGUGUUUGUUUCGAGCAAUGUUAUAAUCCUGCCAGCUGCUUUAGAUUGAGCUGCAUCAUUAGCUCCAAUAGGUUCAGCAGCCAAAAUUCGAAUGGCAGGUUUGAUGGACUUUGCAGCCAGUGCCACCCCUGAUAUUAAACCACCUCCUGCAAUUGAAAUUUUUUCAAACUAUUAUCAUUUGGCUUCCAAAAAAACAAUCACCGAAACCAAAAGUGAUAUGGGACCCCAAAUAUGAAUUGAAACUAAAAUGUUGUCGAACAAACCACUUAUGGGAACUAUUAUUGUAUCAAGUAGAGGGACUUGCUCCAGAAACUCCAGUGAAAUGGUACCCUGCCCACUGAGAAAACAAUGCAACUCAUCAUAGCACAUUCAAAUCAAUGCAAAAGUUCCAGGUUUUCCCCACACAUGAAUUUUGUGCAGACCAUAUGCAUAACGCUUGUGAAUAUCCACUAAUACAGCAUGGAGCUAUAUCAUUUUAUGAAUAGAAUUCAAAUAAAAAUGCAAAUUACCAUAGCAGCAAUAUAGUACCUGAUUAUUCGCCCAUCAUUAUAUGGAUGUACAAGAACUGCUCCAGUUUCCUCCAGCACCUUGGAUGCGACACUCUCCCUUGAAUGCAUUGUGGCCUCACUCCAAAUAACCUGACCACCGUAACGCACGACAUUCUCAACUUUGCAUUUUGGAGCAUUCUUCGGUAUAACUAUAUAUGCUGGUAUCCCCCGUAACUUUGCAGCCAAAGACAAAGCUGCAGCAUGGUUACCACUAAUUUUGAAGUACAAUAUCAGGGGACACCUAAACACUCAAAUUAUCAUUAACCACGGAAAUGCUAGUAAGCUCAGGAAAAACCUGCUAUGUGUUACAACCCCUUUAAUUGCUUGAUCUUCAUCAAGCGAAAGAACUGCAUUAGAGGCACCUCUGAAUUUGAAGGCUCCACUAUCAGAGCAGAAAAGGAAAAGAACAUCCUUAAUUUUAAUAUCGGUGCAAGAGUAAUUAAUGAAAUACUGUAUCCACUAUUCAGUGAAAAAAAUUUGUUCUCACCCCUUCUGAAAACAUUCACAUUUGAAGAAUAGGCUUCUUCCAGACAUAGCAUUUAGAGUUUCCGAGGACAAAACUGGAGUUUUAUGAAUGUACAGCGAGAUGCGUUUUUGAGCUUCUUUUAUGGAUGAGAAAUUAGCAGCAUACUGCUCCCCGUUCGCCUCCAUCUCCAACUUCACUGUUAAAAACUACUUGGGAGUUUUAAUGCUUUUGUUAUAUGAAAAUGGGCAACAAGUAAAUUGUGACAAAAUCGGAUUUUUGUCAUGCUGUCGCAAAAGAAAUAUCAUCGAACAGCCAUGAAAUUGGACAAUUUAAUUGUCAUUUCUAGUAGCAAAGCGAAGUGUGCUACAAGCAUGCAAAAUAGCUAAAUUGAAGACCCGUCCGUUAUUUCAUCAUCGCUAUGCAAUUGAGAUUUUUUGGCAGAUAACAUUUGAAAAAAUAACAACGUAAAAGAAAUGCAUAGUAGAAAAGGAGCUUAAAAAGACAUAAAAUAACUCACAGCAGCUUAGAAGUUUGAAUCCCAAACACGACUUUGAUGAUUCUGCGCCCACCUUCACCUCUCCAUGUCUGUAAUAAUAUAUAUAACGAUGCCGUUUGGUUUGGAGGAAGGUAUUUUUCACUGUAAGUCCCUAUUGUUUCUAUAAAUUAUAAAAAAUACCAAACUUUUUGACAACAUCACAUAAACGAAUAGAUCCUUAAUUUGAUUAAGAUGGUUUACAGAUUACUACACCGGUGGGAAUUAUUUGGACAUUUCUUAAACUGGAACGUUUGCAUGUAAUUGUUGAUACGAACUGACGAAAAGCAGAUUGAAUUUCUGCGCUGAAUGCAAAAGAUUUCGGGAGGAGGACACAGAACAGAACAAGUGUUUGCAUUGCAAAGAAUCUGCCACUUCAACGCUUGCGGUUCAAAUUUUCAACGCUGUGAUAUUCUCAGCAAUUCUGGAAGUAAAAAUAAGAGAACUUCACCGCAUUGACAGUUUAUUUUAGCUAUAAUUGGCUGUUGGCAAUGGCAAACUGAGGUUCAAAACGAGCUACAAAAGAGAAUGAUGAAUGCUCAUUUUCUGAGCUCUGCGACAAUGCGGCGCUGGAUUUUCCCUGUAAGCGGCUUUCCGGACAGAGAGUCAGCGAUGAAGACCUUCUUAGGGACCUUGAAACUUGCAACGUUCCUUUUACAGAAUUCCUUCACCUAUUUUUGCUCCUUCCCUCAGAAUUACAGCGCAUUGGACGUAAAUGAAAUGUAGAAUAAAAACAAAUUGGCAAUUGGCACCGACCAAUCAUAAGUUUCAAUUGGGUUAUUCUUAAAAGAACUGUUAAUCUCACCUCUUCACCAUAUUUAAUUAUUUAUCAUCUGGAUGUGACAAAAGCACUGCAUCAACUUCAGUAGGCGAUAUCUUCUCCCCAGCGAAAGGGAAAUGAUAUUAAGCAUAGUCAAGACUCGAGAAAUCACUCUUAAUAAUUCUCGUCACUGCUGAAUUGAUGAUAAUAUCAAGUCUGCUUUUUGUAAAAUAUGAAUGUUCAAUAUGGAACCCCGCGGAUACUGAGGUGAUGUUUGGUUUGAAGAGAUAUGCGUUGUUAUAGAAUUAUAUCUUUAAAAAAAAAAAAAAAGAUAUUUAAUUUUUUAUUUAGACAAUUUUAGUCUUAAGUGAAUAAAUGUUAAACUUCCAAUAUUUAUCAUCAAUACAAUUCAAAAAAUUAAACAGUGAUUUUAUUUUAUAUAUUUCUAUAAAUAACUAAUAAAAAUUAUUUUAAAUAACAUAUUAUAUUUAUAAUUAAAUUUUAUUUAAAAUUUUUAUUAACGUAAUUUUAUUUUAUUAUUAAUUUAAGUAAUUAUAAUUAACAUAAUUUGUUUCUAGAUAGUUUCUAAUAUAAUAUAAAUAAUUUCUUAAUCACUAUAUUAUAAUUUUAAAUUUUCAUUUAAGGAACCAAAAAAGGCAAAAGAAGCCGCGACUACCACAACACCGUCUCAUACAAGCUGUUGAAUGAUAUGAAAAUUAUCAAAAAUUGAUACUCUCUAUAAUGGAUGAACUCAUUUAAUUGAAAAUUUUGAUAUCAUUUCAGAUUUGUAGAAGUUAAAAAGUUUCUAAAAAUUUUUUAAUAGGGUUUCAACAACACACAUUGAUUCUUUGACCUCAAUGAUAACAUAAUAAUUUUGUUCGUCAAACGACAAGCCCAAUGGGUACUAGCAGUGACACUUCACGUGCCUAUGGCGGCUAUUUGACAACUAUUAAUUUAUGUUUUUAUAUUUUCAUAGUAAAUAUAUUUAUUUAUUUAUUUUGAUAAAUUUUUUAAAAAUCAUUACUUAAAUUUAAUUAAUGAAAUAUUUUUAAAAAAAAUAUUAAAUUGAUAAAAUAAAAUUAUAAAUAAUAACUAUUUGAUGACAUUAAACAAGUUAAAAAGUUAAAGGGGAAAUUUUAAAAGCUUUGAUUUCCAAAAGAAGAAGAAUUUGAAUUCUUCAAUUCUUUGUAUAAAAUUCAAAUUCUAUAUUAGGAUGAAUAGUAAAUUCUAAUAAAAUUUAAAUUCUUAUAUAUUUUGUCCAACCAAACAAUUAAAAAAAAAGAAAAAAAUCCAAAUUACUUUCCUAUUCUCUAUCCUCACCUCCCAACCAAACACCAUCUAAACUCCUUAAUAUGCCACCCACAUAUUCAAACACCUUUGAGAAUCAAAGUAUCCCAGAUCUCCAGUAAGGAACCACCCAAAUUGAAAAGUAGUCUUAUUAGCCUCAGGAUUAUUAAUCCUUUGUACCAUUGGGCCCUCUCUAAUGCACAUCUUCCCAUUAACAUUCGCCUUUUGGUCUACACCAUUCUCGUCUGGAAUAGCCAUCUCCUGCCGGACCGGCUUCCCUACCGAACUAGCCUUAUGCGGGCCGUUUUUAGGCAACAGUACGAACACGGUACAUACAGAUAUGGCACUAGUCACCAAGCAGGUAAACUCUAAUUUAGGCCAGCUGUCUUGGUCUAAACCAAACUCUAAUCUCGGAGGCAGGUAAACUCGGGCCCCAUAGAAUAAGAAUACAUUGGUGUACGGCGUGAUGGUUAGUUGGGCUUGUUUCAUGGAUGGAUAAUGGGUUCAUUGUCAUUGAAUGAUGAAAGGCUGGCCCAAAAUCAAGACUGAUAUAAUAAUUUUACAUUAAUUUUUAUUUUUGAAUUACAUACAACGUACAUUAUUUAUGUAUUUGGAUAAUAGUCAUUACGAGAUCUUUUAGAUGAAAGUAAUUGAAGUUCAUAAAUAACCAAGUCAAAUUCAUAAUUUCGGUGAGCGCAUGCGGCAGAAAAUUAUUAUUACUCCUGUAAAAUAUGGCUUAAUAUGGGCCAUACUUGCCGACCAAGGCCUACUUGCUAAAAUUAUUAGCUUGGUUUUAAUGACAGGAUUAUUUAUUUAAUCAUACUAAAGGUUAAUGUCAACAUACAAUAUUUUGGAAUUGUUACAAGUGAGAAUAAGUCAAUUAUAAUUUACAAAGGAGCAAAAGGGAUGUUUUAUUUCGCGGGCCCAUUUCGUAAUUGAUGGAUUUUUCUAAAGGUAAAAAGCUAGGGACAAAGUCAUUUUCGCACUAUAUUGAUUAUCACAAAUAUUUUAAUGGUAAUGCCCGCUUGUUACGUGCAGGUUCAAACAAACGAUGCUUCUGGACUUGGCGGGAAUGUUGAAAAAAAUACUUGGGCCUUCGUUCUCAAUCUAAGUAGAUCUGAUGUAAGGCCCAAACCGUUUUAUUUUUAAUAAUUAGUAAAUUAUUAAUUAUUAAAAAUUCUCAUAAGUUAGAAAAUAGAACCAAAUUAUUGAUUAUGAAAUUAUCAACAUCAAACAGAUUCAGCAUGGGCAUGGCAUGUGACAUGUAUUUGGCUUGACGGUCGACGCUUACUUGCGUGCCAAUAUUAAUUUGCAACUCUGUCUUUUCAGGUUCAGCAAUAUUUAACUCCGGUUUAAUGCGAUCCUUUUAUGGGAAUUUUAAUUCGUCAUCGGUUAGUUUUGUUCAUUCCUGUUUUUAUUUAGCAUCAUAGUUUGAACUUUGAACUGUUUCGAAUCACAGACGAACAAGAAGAAGAAUAAUUAAAGGAAAGACUGUUUUUAACCAAUUUUGAUUGCAUGAUAUGUACUGAUUUUCCGCUGAAUAAAAUUACAAAAAAAAAUUGUAAUUAGUCAUAAUUGGAUAAAAUCAUUUCAAUUAAUUAUUUAAAUGAUAACCAGAUUUUUAUUUUUAUUUUUUUCUUUUUCAUAGGAAUCAUUUCAAUUAAUUGUAAUUAGUCAUAAUUCUUUUUCAAUUAUGGAUUCGUCACAGCAUAAAUGAAUAAUAAAUAAAUACGAUUCAAUUUGUUUAUCAAUUCUACUAAACGAAUUAAACGAAUCGAACCAUAUAUUCGUUUAAUAAACGAAUCGAAUCUGAAUCUUGAGAUUUCAAUUUGAUUAAUAAAUAAAUCGAAUCUGAGUCAGUAAAAUUUUAACUCAAUUUAUUUACGAUUCGAUUCGAAUUCAAAUUAAUUCAUUUUGCCGCCCUACUCGUCAUAUGGGCGUAGACAUGUGCGUCCUUUGAACGAACGUGUAUCCGGUCGAAAUAUUGAGACUUUGGAAGUCAGCAAACAAAGAACUUAUUUUGAAAGAACGAACUCGGACGCAAUUUUGUUUUUCUUCCUAUAAGUUUCCAUGAAAAUUAACACUGAAUUUGACUUUCUGUGAUGAUCUGACAUUGUGCCCGACAUAAGACAAGGAUGUGCUUUAUUAGUAAUUGUAGAUAAUAAGACAUAAAUAUACAAUAUACACAAUUUUUUUUUUUUUAAUUAAAUAGUUUAGCAAGGCGCGCUGCAACUCAAUUUUCCUCCACCGCGUAACUACAACUCAUAUCAGCAUAAUCCAUAUUCUUGGACAGAAACAAUCAACUAUUUGCAACUAUUGAAGCUCUGACUUACUGUGGAUUUGUUUUUCUUUUUUUUUGGGAAACUUUCUUUUCUGUGACAUCACUUCUAUAAUUUGUCUUGAUGGUUAUUACACAGUGACCAACAAACCCAGAUCCAGAUUCUUAAAGAUUCUAGAGUACCUAGGGUAUAUAUAACUCUAGUGCCGUCAUUAUAAUUAAAAUAUUCUGUAUAAAAACAACAGGUGGAGUGAUCAAACAUACAUCACAAGAAGGGACUCAGCUAAGUUGCAGAUUCUGUAACUAACAGCUGAGUCCACAUUGGCCUUGCAUCAGCUGAGUUUGGGUUGCUUUUCCUCACUCCUGCAACCCGUGGAAGCGUCCCAUUUGCUGUGUUACAUACAGAGUCGGUACCGUAGCAAGCUCCCACAAGAGGAAGUACUUGUGCUUACUAAUAAUAUAUACUAGGUUUUUGCCAAGUCAAUGAUUUUAAUACAAUAAUAUUUUAGUCCAUACGUUUGAUGAUGGCUCUGAUGAUCAAGCAAAGAUAAUAAUUCUUUAAGGAAAAAAAAACCCACAAGCAAGAGCAAAGUGACACUGUUUUGCAUUAAUUGUUUGAUUAUUUUAGGCGGUUUGAGUUUACUAUAAAUAUGGGGUUUCUUUUGUGCAUAAACUGCGUGUUACAAAAGAAAGGUUUGAUCUCUUUCGAGCCAAGAUUUGAUCUCUUUCAAGCCAAGGCUUUCUCUUUAUCUCUACCUAUCGGCGAUCGUAAGUUUCUUCUUCUUAUCUAAUUUUGUUAAUUAUUAUUUUAUUGUCUAACUUUUGCAAAAUUUCGUACUUGAUCUCUUGAGUUGCAUAUGUUGAGAACAUAUGUCAAUCUAUGUCUCAUUUUCAUCAUAUUCUCAAGAAACUGCUAUGAAAGAUAUGGUUAGCUAGCUUUUAGUCUUAAAUUCAAUUUCUACGGUAAUGCAUUCUUACGUCUACACAUAUCAAAAUUGCUUAUUGUUUACUCGUGUUUACAGUACUAGCAAGUAAGGGUGGACGAACUCAAUCCGACCUCAGUGCAAUCUAAUUCAAUCCAAUCCAAUUAAACUUAAAUGAGUUGAUUGAGUUAAUUUUUUUCAAUCCAAUUAAUGAUUGAGUUAGAUUAGAUUCGUGUUAAUGGACCCAUGUAACCCAAUCCAAUCCAAUAAUAAUAAAAAUCAUACAAAAAUAAUGUCAAUUGUUAAUUGUUUAUCCCUAAAUGGUUAAAAAUAAUUUUGAACUCUUUUUAUGCUUUUAUAAAAGAGACUCUUUUUUAAUUUCUCUCUAUUAAACCUUACAUUAAUUGAAUUUUCUAAAAACAAAAUUCAUAAAUCAAACUUGAAUUUUCACUAAAAAUAAGCUGAUAGGUAUUUAAACAUAACAACAUAUUGUCUAUUGAUAGAUGUUGGGUGUAACAGACAAUAUUUAAUGUUAUAAUGGAGAAUUAUUAUUUUUUUACUAUUUUAAUUUAAUUUUAAAUAUCAAAUAACUUUUUUUUUUAACUUCCACAUUUGAAUUUUUAAAUUUAAUCAACCUGAUCAACCCAACCCAAUACAAUGAUUUAUGUUAAAUUAAGUGCCCAAAUUUUUAGGUUUCAUAAUGCUUUUAUGGAGACUUGAAUCUUUGUUAUCAUACAUGGUGAAUACAAAGGUUCACCCACUAGGCCAAAGACUCGUCAUUGGUGAGGUGCAUCUAGCUUUAAAAGGAUAAAUUAAAUGGAGUGAGCUGCAUCUAAUUUUUCAAAGGAUAAAUUAAACCAUAAAAGGGUUGAAACUUUGUAACGCCAAUAAUAUCAAAAUUUAUGAAAAUUUUUCAAAUUAGAUCACUUAUCGUGGAUAUGGGAAUUGCAAUACUUAUCCUUUUCCAAAGGAUAUGGUUAUCUCAUAACAAGCACUUCAAAAUUAAAGCUUUCGCUUUCCUCAUCAUUUCAGACUGUAAAAUCUUUCUUUCUUACGUUUUAUUUGAUAUUACAAAAUUAGAAUAGAGAUUGAGCGCAAGAUAGUACUUAUAUGUGUGUGUAUAUUACCUAAUUCAAUCUUCAACUAUUUAAGGGGAGUUUGAACACCAAGCCUCUUCUUUUCAAAAAAGAUAUUUUUACCAUCUCUACAUAUAUAGAUGCUAUUAAUGCUACCGAAAAAAAAAAGAAAUUUAGAAAAAAAUCGACUGUCAAUUCUAUUUUAUUUUUAAAAAAAAUUAAUUUUUUUUAUAUGAUGAACUUAGUCGUAAUUAUAUAUUAAGAUCUGUGUUUUUUUUUAAUAUUUUAGUAACACUCUCACUUUAUCAAAGUAAAAAUGUCCUCAUUAAAAGACAACUAUAUAUAAGCAACUGUUAAAUUACAUAUAAUGUAACUUAUAGAAACACAAAAAAAGUUACUCAAAACAAAAAAUAAUAACAUGUAAAACAAAUAGUAGGUCGUGAGUAACUACUUUUAGGUUUGUUGCAAGUUACAUAUGAUGUAACUUAACAACACCUCUAUAUAUAUAUAUGUGUGUAUGUAUAUAUAUAAUUAUCCUCUAAUAAAGACAUUUUUGAUU
This 30344-nucleotide long non-coding RNA is filed under the name Citrus maxima (pomelo). RNAcentral's name for it is "long non-coding RNA (CMAX_LNC002055)". The record is from RNAcentral. Lineage: Eukaryota; Viridiplantae; Streptophyta; Magnoliopsida; Sapindales; Rutaceae.